GUCGAGGGGUAGAGUUCUUCGGAACUUGAGACCGGCGCACGGGUGCGUAACGCGUAUGCAAUCUACCUUAUACAGGGGAAUAGCCCAGAGAAAUUUGGAUUAAUGCCCCAUAGUGUUAUCGAAUCGCAUGGUUUGAUAACUAAAGUUCCAACGGUAUAAGAUGAGCAUGCGUCCCAUUAGUUAGUUGGUAAGGUAACGGCUUACCAAGACAAUGAUGGGUAGGGGUCCUGAGAGGGAGAUCCCCCACACUGGUACUGAGACACGGACCAGACUCCUACGGGAGGCAGCAGUGAGGAAUAUUGGUCAAUGGGCGCAAGCCUGAACCAGCCAUGCCGCGUGCAGGAAGAAGCAUCUAUGGUGUGUAAACUGCUUUUAUACAGGAAGAAACAUCCCGACGUGUCGGGACUUGACGGUACUGUAGGAAUAAGGAUCGGCUAACUCCGUGCCAGCAGCCGCGGUAAUACGGAGGAUCCAAGCGUUAUCCGGAAUCAUUGGGUUUAAAGGGUCCGUAGGCGGCCUUAUAAGUCAGUGGUGAAAUCUCCUAGCUCAACUAGGAAACUGCCAUUGAUACUGUAAGGCUUGAAUUUUUGUGAAGUAACUAGAAUAUGUAGUGUAGCGGUGAAAUGCUUAGAUAUUACAUGGAAUACCAAUUGCGAAGGCAGGUUACUAACAAACGAUUGACGCUGAUGGACGAAAGCGUGGGGAGCGAACAGGAUUAGAUACCCUGGUAGUCCACGCCGUAAACGAUGGAUACUAGCUGUUCGGAGCAAUCUGAGUGGCUAAGCGAAAGUGAUAAGUAUCCCACCUGGGGAGUACGCACGCA
Molecule: ribosomal RNA, 823 nt
Filed under: uncultured Bacteroidota bacterium
Lineage: Bacteria; Pseudomonadati; Bacteroidota
Description: bacterial SSU rRNA
Rfam family: Bacterial small subunit ribosomal RNA
Source: RNAcentral